This 336-nucleotide long non-coding RNA is filed under the name Dicentrarchus labrax (European seabass). RNAcentral describes it as "lncRNA (ENSDLAG00005028084.1)". The record is from RNAcentral. Lineage: Eukaryota; Metazoa; Chordata; Actinopteri; Moronidae.
UUUAAAAAUGUACAGAUCCAAAGCAAACAUUUUAGUCUGGAUCAGAAAGAGAGUCAAGGAAAGAAGAACCUGGAGGUCACAUGGUCAAACCUCACAGCAUCCUUAAGUCUGCUCCUCUACCUGAUCUCUCAGACCCACAUCUUCUUCAGACAGCUCCUCUUCUGUCAGUCACCCCGGUGCCCUAAAACUGUCCUAAAUGACUUAAUCUACAGGGCGACAGUACUCCAGAGAGGCUGACUCUCCAACCGUGACCUUCUACGGCUAGAGUUUGCAUAAAUGAACUGGCUUAUGAGACAUGAUGAGACAGAGGGAGAUGCAGCGAGACAAGGCAGAGGU